Molecule: long non-coding RNA, 2006 nt
Filed under: Nicotiana tabacum (common tobacco)
Lineage: Eukaryota; Viridiplantae; Streptophyta; Magnoliopsida; Solanales; Solanaceae
Description: long non-coding RNA (NTAB_LNC017692)
Source: RNAcentral
AAUUCAGCCCGAUUACCAUAUUUUCGUGUGCCACCUUCUGAGUGGGUCGGGCACUCGGAUCGCCUUAAAUUUUUUCAGGCCAUCAAAUAUGAACUAAGGAACCAUAGUCACAUCCCACCAUGAUCGUUCCUUGUUGUUUUGCGUUUUACGACCAAGAAACUAAAAUUCUGCCUGAUUCCCAUAUUUUCGUGUGCUACAUCCCACACCUUCUGAGUGGGCCCGGGCCGCCCGGACCCGAAUAGCUUUAAAUUUUUAUGGGCCAUAAAAUACGACCUAAGGAACCAUAGUGACCGCCCCGCCAUGACCGUUCCUCAUUGUUUUGCGUUUUACGGCCAAAAACUAGAAUUCUGCCCGAUUCCCAUAUUUUCGCGUGCUAUAAGCCCACGCCUUCCCAGUGGGCCCGGGCCUCUCGGACCCCUACCGCCUAAAAAUUUUCUAGGCCAUCAAAUAUGACCUAAGGAACCAUAGUCACCGUCCCACCGUCACUGCCCCUCUAUGACCGUUCCUCGUUGUUUUGCAUUUUAUGGCCAAAAAACUAGAAUUCCGCCCGAUUCUCAUAUUUUCGUGUGCUAUGGCCCAUGCCUUCCGAGUGGGCACGGGCCCCCCGGAACAGGAUCGCCUAUAAUUUGUCCGGGACAUCAAAUACAACCUAAGGAACAAUAGUCACCGCCUUGCCAUGACCGUUCCUCUUUGUUUUUCCUUUUACGGCCAAAAAACUAGAAUUCCGCCUGAUUCCCAUAUUUUCAUGUGCUAUAGCCCACGCCAUCCGAGUGGGCAAGGGCCCCCCAGAACCGGAUCGCCUAUAAUUUUUUCGGGCCAUCAAAUAUGACGUAAGGAACAAUAGUCACCACCAUGCCAUGACUGUUCCUCGUUUUUGCGUUUUACGGCCUAAAAACUAGAAUUCGCCCAAUUCCUAUAUUUUCGUGUGCUAUAGCCCACGCCUUUUGAGUGGGCCGGGCCCCCCGGACUCGGAUCGCCUAAAACCUUUUCGGGCCAUUAAAUACAACCUAAAGAACCAUAGUCACUGCCUCGCCAUCACCAUUCCUCGUUUGUUUUGCAUUUUACGGCCAAAAAAAUAGAAUUCCGCCCGAUUCUCAUAUGUUCAUGUGCUAUAGCCCAAGCCUUCCGAGUGGGCAGGGCCCCCAGACCCGGAUCACCUAAAAUUUUUCCAAGCCAUGAAAUACGACCUAAGGAUCUAUAGUCACCGCCUUGCCAUGGGCGUUCCUCAUUUUUUGCGUUUUACAACCAAAAAACUAGAAUUUCGCCCGAUUCUUAUAUUUUCGUGUGCUAUAGCCCACGCCUUCCGAGUGGGCUGGUGCCCCCGGACUCGGAUCGCCUAAAUUUUUUCGGGCCGUCAAAUACGACCUAAAGAACCAUUGUCACCACCUCUCCAUGACUGUUCUUCAUGUUUUGCGUUUUACAGCCAAAAAACUAAAAUUCCGCCUGAUUCCAAUAUUUUCGUGUGCUAUAGCCCACGCCUUCCGAGUGGGCUCGGCUCCCAGGACUCAGAUCGCCUAAAAAAAAUUUCGGGCCGUCAAAUAUGACAUAAAGAACCAUAAUCACCACCUCGCCAUGACCGUUCCUCAUUAUUUUGUGUUUUACGGCCAAAAAACUAGAAUUCAGCCCCAUUAACAUAUUUUCGUGUGCCACCUUCCGAGUGGGUCGGAACCCUCCAGACCUGGAUCGUAUGCUAUAUCCCACACCUUCUGAGUGGGCCCGGGCCGCCCGGACCCGAAUAUACUUAAACUUUUAUGGGCCAUCAAAUACGACCUAAAGAACCAUAGUCACCUCCCCGCCAUGACCGUUCCUUGUUGUUUUGCGUUUUACGGCCAAAAACUAGAAUUUUGCCCGAUUCCCAUAUUUUCGUUUGCUAUAGCACACGGCUUCCGAGUGGGCCCGGGGCCCCCGGACUCGGAUCGCCUAAAGUUUUUUCGGGCCAUCAAAUAUGACCUAAAGAACCAUAGUCACUGCCUUGCCAUAACCAUUCCUCAUUUUUUGCCUUUUUC